This 1446-nucleotide ribosomal RNA is filed under the name uncultured organism. RNAcentral describes it as "16S ribosomal RNA". It matches the Rfam family "Bacterial small subunit ribosomal RNA". The record is from RNAcentral.
GCGGCGUGCUUAACACAUGCAAGUCGAACGGAAAGGCCCUGCUUUUGUGGGGUGCUCGAGUGGCGAACGGGUGAGUAACACGUGAGUAACCUGCCCUUGACUUUGGGAUAACUUCAGGAAACUGGGGCUAAUACCGGAUAGGAGCUCCUGCUGCAUGGUGGGGGUUGGAAAGUUUCGGCGGUUGGGGAUGGACUCGCGGCUUAUCAGCUUGUUGGUGGGGUAGUGGCUUACCAAGGCUUUGACGGGUAGCCGGCCUGAGAGGGUGACGGGCCACAUUGGGACUGAGAUACGGCCCAGACUCCUACGGGAGGCAGCAGUGGGGAAUAUUGCACAAUGGGCGGAAGCCUGAUGCAGCAACGCCGCGUGCGGGAUGACGGCCUUCGGGUUGUAAACCGCUUUCGCCUGUGACGAAGCGUGAGUGACGGUAAUGGGUAAAGAAGCACCGGCUAACUACGUGCCAGCAGCCGCGGUGAUACGUAGGGUGCGAGCGUUGUCCGGAUUUAUUGGGCGUAAAGGGCUCGUAGGUGGUUGAUCGCGUCGGAAGUGUAAUCUUGGGGCUUAACCCUGAGCGUGCUUUCGAUACGGGUUGACUUGAGGAAGGUAGGGGAGAAUGGAAUUCCUGGUGGAGCGGUGGAAUGCGCAGAUAUCAGGAGGAACACCAGUGGCGAAGGCGGUUCUCUGGGCCUUUCCUGACGCUGAGGAGCGAAAGCGUGGGGAGCGAACAGGCUUAGAUACCCUGGUAGUCCACGCUGUAAACGGUGGGUACUAGGUGUGGGGUCCAUUCCACGGGUUCCGUGCCGUAGCUAACGCUUUAAGUACCCCGCCUGGGGAGUACGGCCGCAAGGCUAAAACUCAAAGGAAUUGACGGGGCCCCGCACAAGCGGCGGAGCAUGCGGAUUAAUUCGAUGCAACGCGUAGAACCUUACCUGGGUUUGACAUGGAUCGGGAGUGCUCAGAGAUGGGUGUGCCUCUUUUGGGGUCGGUUCACAGGUGGUGCAUGCCUGUCGUCAGCUCGUGUCGUGAGAUGUUGGGUUAAGUCCCGCAACGAGCGCAACCCUUGUUCACUGUUGCCAGCACGUUAUGGUGGGGACUCAGUGGAGACCGCCGGGGUCAACUCGGAGGAAGGUGGGGAUGACGUCAAGUCCUCAUGCCCCUUAUGUCCAGGGCUUCACGCAUGCUACAAUGGCUGGUACAGAGAGUGGCGAGCCUGUGAGGGUGAGCGAAUCUCGGAAAGCCGGUCUCAGUUCGGAUUGGGGUCUGCAACUCGACCUCAUGAAGUCGGAGUCGCUAGUAAUCGCAGAUCAGCAACGCUGCGGUGAAUACGUUCCCGGGGCUUGUACACACCGCCCGUCAAGUCAUGAAAGUUGGUAACACCCGAAGCCGGUGGCCUAACCGUUGUGGGGGAGCCGUCGAAGGUGGGACUGGUGAUUAGGACUAAGUCAUAAC